AGCUUUCACCAGCUGAGCUCUCAGAUGAACCUAAAAAGAAUUUCCUGCUGGAGUAGGAAAACCAGCAAGCACCAGAACGGGACAGAGUCUUCCAGCAGCAGUUGCCCUACUGCCAAAUACACAGGGAUAAGGAGCGUCACUGCACCUGGGCAGACCAGAAGGCGGGG
Long non-coding RNA from Chelonia mydas (Green sea turtle), 167 nucleotides. RefSeq lists it as uncharacterized. NCBI's taxonomy places the organism in Eukaryota, Metazoa, Chordata, Testudines, Cheloniidae. The transcript is spliced from 3 exons. The record is from RefSeq and is a predicted model, not a curated record.